Gasterosteus aculeatus aculeatus (three-spined stickleback) is the source of this 2480-nucleotide long non-coding RNA. NCBI's taxonomy places the organism in Eukaryota, Metazoa, Chordata, Actinopteri, Perciformes, Gasterosteidae. The record is from Ensembl.
GCCCAAUGCGGCAGUGUAAACACACAAUGUAAUAUUCAUGACGAGUGAAAGUUCCUGUGGCCCACAGUGCAGCCUGUCAGUUUGAGGGAUCCUGGGCUAACGCUCGGUGGACGAACACGUGGGCUGUUUUGUCAGAUAAGCAGCCGGGUAAAUGUUUUACAAAGUAGCUUAGGGAGAAGUAGCAAUGUCAAGUCUCCGGUCUGCCGAUGUCUUCUACUUCGGUCAGGCUCCUCACUGGUGGGACCCCCUUACGGAUCCGAGGAGUGCAGAUACAAGCUGAUACAAGAUUUAGGAACAUGAUGAGCAAGCAGAUGUCCCGGGCCAGCAGAUGAUCACGCCCCCCAGAAGCCUCCACAUCCACUGCAGAUACAUUUCAAAUGCAACAUUACAUUUUAAUCACUACAUAAAAUAGUUUCCAUGUAUGUUUUUUAUUAUCUAUCAAUAUCAUCAAGUUUGUUCACAUUAUCUCUAUCCAUCUUGUCAGAUCAUCCAUAAAUUGGCAUGAAAAGUACAUGUUUAAAACUAAUCUUUUGUUAUAAUGUGUUGAAUUACUGAAUCACAUAUAUAGAGGGGAGAAAAAAAUGUCCUGGUGCGAGUGAAGAUAUUAUCAUUCAGCCCCCAGGCUCACUUUCAGGAUCCCUUUUGAUCUUCAAAAAAGUCUAGGCUCUUGUCAGCCGAGGAUCUAUCCAGACUGCUACCGCUUGACUUUGCCAAUUGACUCAUCAACUUAUUUUCUGAUUGGUUUCCUGACAGCUCCCCAGAUUCCUCUGAGUGAUAGCUCUACUUCCUGCCCUGAGGUCAAACUGUGUGGCGUGUUGGCUCACACAGGAAGGCUGGUUUUAUUGGACGUGUUUUGUGUGCUUUGGUCAACCCUUGCACACACACACACACAUACACACACACACACUCUUCUGCUCAGUCAAUAUUUCAGCACGCUGCAACGUAGAUGCUAUGAAAUAUUGAUUAUGGUGCAGCGCUGGGGAAACAAAAUUGAAAGCAGACUUUGUGAUUUAUACGUGGAAUCAUUUUCACGAUUCAUUAUCUUUUGCACAUUCCUGCUGCCAUUGUGAGAGUCUGUCGUUCUGCAAGCUGGAGCUCCAAAGGAGGAGGGUGCUAUCUGCUGGAGGAGGGCUGAACGACAGGGCAGCGCUGAACAGAAAAUGUCUGUGCUGAAUAACAAAAAAUCCAAAGAAUGUAGUGAUAUCUAAUAUGAAUGGCACGCUUGCAUAAUUUUAAGAAUCAAUCUUCCUCUGAUAAAACAGCAGAAAACCAAUCUAUCUUGUUGACAUCUUCCUGCACAGUGUGUUUGUGCUGCUGAAUCUUUCCCCCAAUGACACCACAAGUUCUGACUAUUCUCAUUAAUAUGUAUAUGCACUAGUUAGAUGACACAGUUCAUGGUAACGAAGGAUGCUUUCUGACUCAGUUAUGACUUUAACAAACAAUGCAAACCCUAGACCUCUAAAGGAUGACCCAGUUUGGUACGAGAGGAUUGUUCUCUUCCAUCUCGCUCUGAAUUCAUCAAAGCUGACACAUUUUAAGGCCUCGUGUGAGAACGUAGGUGUUAUUCUAUCUGAUCUCAAUAGUUAGUGAAAAUCUGACAAUUUAGUUCCUUUCUUUCACGCACAAGUGGGCAACAAUUUGGUGACAUAAGGACUAAAAAAUGUUAAAAAUUAGUUUUGCUUUUAUGCACAGUUUAAGGAAUGCGUUUAGCUCCCAAUAUUCCCAUCGCAGUACAUUAUAAUAGUAUUUAUAAUGUGGUUUACAAUCAAGUCCUGAUUGGAUAGCGGCCGGAAAGUGACAUGAACUAAAUUUCCAGUUGAUAAUGUGGAAAUAAAGAUAGAAUUGAAAUGGCUAGAUCAGCCACAUAGUCACCAACAUCUACCAAUUUCACCCGGCCUCCUUAUUUAUAAGUUCGACUGUAAAUCUACAGUGCUAGAAACAGAAUUUUAAACUCAUAUAAGUGUUGAUAUAUUGCAUUAUCGUUAUGUGUCAUAUGUGGCAACCAACGGGUGGGGGUAAAAUCACCGGACUCGGAUACACGUCUAGCUGCACAAAAAAGGGUACGAUUUAUUGUAACAUACAAAGUAAGAAAAAGGGAAAAUUAGGUUCUUCCUCUUUUGAGGGUGCGGUUCAACGGGUUCAUCCAACCUUCGUCUCCUUCCUGCAGGAAGUACAAAAAACGGGAUUUAACACGCAUGCAAACAACCCCCGGCGUGAAGCCAGCUUCUACUCACGUCUUGUCUCCCGGGCUGUUGGGCUGGUUGGUCUUUUAUAGUGUGGCCAACCUUCAUCAGCCUUGUGAGCUGCAGCUGGGCCGCUGGUUGUCUCCUGAGGGGGCGGGGUGUUUCCCCUUUUGGUCACCUGACCUCGAGCUCGUGGGAGCCCUUUGUGCUGCUCUCUUGAUGCACUUUCCAGAGUGCUGCGCCCGUGGGUUGCCACACAUAGAAACUUGUUAGUUAGUUAUCAUUACAAUGCCAGCA